This 722-nucleotide ribosomal RNA is filed under the name Paramyrothecium foeniculicola. RNAcentral describes it as "LSU rRNA". It matches the Rfam family "Eukaryotic large subunit ribosomal RNA", at positions 74 to 819 of the family's 3401-position model. Lineage: Eukaryota; Fungi; Ascomycota; Sordariomycetes; Hypocreales; Stachybotryaceae. The record is from RNAcentral.
AUUGCCUCAGUAACGGCGAGUGAAGCGGCAACAGCUCAAAUUUGAAAUCUGGCCCUAGGCCCGAGUUGUAAUUUGCAGAGGAUGCUUUUGGCGAGGUGCCUUCCGAGUUCCCUGGAACGGGACGCCAUAGAGGGUGAGAGCCCCGUCUGGUCGGACACCGAGCCUCUGUAAAGCUCCUUCGACGAGUCGAGUAGUUUGGGAAUGCUGCUCUAAAUGGGAGGUAUAUGUCUUCUAAAGCUAAAUACCGGCCAGAGACCGAUAGCGCACAAGUAGAGUGAUCGAAAGAUGAAAAGCACUUUGAAAAGAGAGUUAAAUAGCACGUGAAAUUGUUGAAAGGGAAGCGUUUAUGACCAGACUUGGCCCGGUUGAUCAUCCAGCGUUCUCGCUGGUGCACUCUGCCGGUCCAGGCCAGCAUCAGUUCGUCGCGGGGGAUAAAGGUUUCGGGAAUGUGGCUCCUCCGGGAGUGUUAUAGCCCGUUGCGUAAUACCCUGUGGUGGACUGAGGUCCGCGCUUCUGCAAGGAUGCUGGCGUAAUGGUCAUCAACGACCCGUCUUGAAACACGGACCAAGGAGUCGUCUUUCGUAUGCGAGUGAUCGGGUGUAAAACCCCUACGCGUAAUGAAAGGCAACGCAGGUUAAAGCUUCGGGCGCAUCAUCGAACCGAUUCUUGAUGUCCUCGGGAUGGGAUUUUGAGUAAGAAGCAUUACGGGGCCCGGAACCCGA